UGCUAUAAUGCAAGUCGUACGCUUCUUUUUCCACCGGAGCUUGCUCCACCGGAAAAAGAGGAGUGGCGAACGGGUGAGUAACACGUGGGUAACCUGCCCAUCAGAAGGGGAUAACACUUGGAAACAGGUGCUAAUACCGUAUAACAAUCGAAACCGCAUGGUUUUGAUUUGAAAGGCGCUUUCGGGUGUCGCUGAUGGAUGGACCCGCGGUGCAUUAGCUAGUUGGUGAGGUAACGGCUCACCAAGGCCACGAUGCAUAGCCGACCUGAGAGGGUGAUCGGCCACAUUGGGACUGAGACACGGCCCAAACUCCUACGGGAGGCAGCAGUAGGGAAUCUUCGGCAAUGGACGAAAGUCUGACCGAGCAACGCCGCGUGAGUGAAGAAGGUUUUCGGAUCGUAAAACUCUGUUGUUAGAGAAGAACAAGGAUGAGAGUAACUGUUCAUCCCUUGACGGUAUCUAACCAGAAAGCCACGGCUAACUACGUGCCAGCAGCCGCGGUAAUACGUAGGUGGCAAGCGUUGUCCGGAUUUAUUGGGCGUAAAGCGAGCGCAGGCGGUUUCUUAAGUCUGAUGUGAAAGCCCCCGGCUCAACCGGGGAGGGUCAUUGGAAACUGGGAGACUUGAGUGCAGAAGAGGAGAGUGGAAUUCCAUGUGUAGCGGUGAAAUGCGUAGAUAUAUGGAGGAACACCAGUGGCGAAGGCGGCUCUCUGGUCUGUAACUGACGCUGAGGCUCGAAAGCGUGGGGAGCAAACAGGAUUAGAUACCCUGGUAGUCCACGCCGUAAACGAUGAGUGCUAAGUGUUGGAGGGUUUCCGCCCUUCAGUGCUGCAGCUAACGCAUUAAGCACUCCGCCUGGGG
Molecule: ribosomal RNA, 860 nt
Filed under: Enterococcus sp. M362
Lineage: Bacteria; Bacillati; Bacillota; Bacilli; Lactobacillales; Enterococcaceae
Description: bacterial SSU rRNA
Rfam family: Bacterial small subunit ribosomal RNA
Source: RNAcentral